GUGGCUCAGAUGGUAGAGCGUCUGUCUGCAGUGCAGGAGACCUGGGUUCGACCCCGC
RNAcentral lists this transfer RNA (57 nucleotides) under Ovis aries (sheep). It matches the Rfam family "tRNA", at positions 7 to 64 of the family's 71-position model. From Rfam's summary of the family: Transfer RNA (tRNA) molecules are approximately 80 nucleotides in length. Their secondary structure includes four short double-helical elements and three loops (D, anti-codon, and T loops). Further hydrogen bonds mediate the characteristic L-shaped molecular structure. tRNAs have two regions of fundamental functional importance: the anti-codon, which is responsible for specific mRNA codon recognition, and the 3' end, to which the tRNAs corresponding amino acid is attached (by aminoacyl-tRNA synthetases). tRNAs cope with the degeneracy of the genetic code in two manners: having more than one tRNA (with a specific anti-codon) for a particular amino acid; and 'wobble' base-pairing, i.e. permitting non-standard base-pairing at the 3rd anti-codon position. Lineage: Eukaryota; Metazoa; Chordata; Mammalia; Artiodactyla; Bovidae. The record is from Rfam by way of RNAcentral.